ACACUCCUGGGAAGUAAGCAUAUUACUGUCCCCAUUUUACAAAUGGGAAAACAGAGGCUACAGAGAGAUGAAAGGUCUUGCCCAAGAUCACAAAGCAGGUCAAUGGCAGAGGCAGAUUAGUGCUCAGGGAUUCCUAGCUCCUAACCCCAUACUCUGUCCACAGGCCCCUUUGCUCCUGAUCUGCACAAUCCAGUGGAAAGAGGGCCACCGUCCUCCACCGGCUCCCCCUGGGCCGGAGAGAGGGUCCAAGCAAGGCAUGGUGGUGGGCUCUCAGCACACGUAAUGGGCGGCUGGUAACAACCAGGAACAGGGCCUGGGGAGCGGCUGGCCCUGGGUCUCAAGCAGGAACUUACUGCAGAAAAACUCUUCUUCUGGCUUUGAUCAGCCACCGCCACCACGCGCCAGCAGCACCGCAGCCAGUGGUUCGGGGGCUUGGAGGGCGCGGGGUUGUAGGGAGAAAAACAGGAUGUCCAGUUUUACCAUGGUGAUUAAGCACUUUCCACUCCAACAGUAACUCAAGAGGAUGUUGGACAGCAGCGGCUUCUAAAGUUGGACAUACUUAAAUCAGCAGACCCUGGUAACUUGCACCAUGAGUUUUAAAAGAGCUGACUGAAACACUCCCAGGACCAAUACUGUUCAUUUUCAAUAACUCUUAGAACACUGGGGAAGUUUGAGAACACUGAAAGAAAACUAAUAUUAUGCCAGUAUUUUAAAAAGGAUUAAGAAGAUUUGACCCCCAUAACCUCACUUUGGCUAGAACAUCUGAUUUUGUGGUGUAAUACAG
Long non-coding RNA from Dermochelys coriacea (leatherback sea turtle), 784 nucleotides. RefSeq lists it as uncharacterized. NCBI's taxonomy places the organism in Eukaryota, Metazoa, Chordata, Testudines, Dermochelyidae. The transcript is spliced from 3 exons. The record is from RefSeq and is a predicted model, not a curated record.